GCGGUGGCUAGACCGGAUGUGCCGAAAGGCCGCAAGAUUUAUUAGCCUGAAGAUGAGCUCGCGUCUGAUUAGCUAGUUGGUGUGGUAAGAGCGCACCAAGGCGACGAUCAGUAGCUGGUCUGAGAGGAUGAUCAGCCACACUGGGACUGAGACACGGCCCAGACUCCUACGGGAGGCAGCAGUGGGGAAUUUUCCGCAAUGGGCGAAAGCCUGACGGAGCAAUACCGCGUGAGGGAGGAAGGCUCUUGGGUUGUAAACCUCUUUUCUCAGGGAAUAAAAAAAUGAAGGUACCUGAGGAAUAAGCAUCGGCUAACUCCGUGCCAGCAGCCGCGGUAAUACGGAGGAUGCAAGCGUUAUCCGGAAUGAUUGGGCGUAAAGCGUCCGCAGGUGGCACUGUAAGUCUGCUGUUAAAGAGCAAGGCUCAACCUUGUAAAGGCAGUGGAAACUACAGAGCUAGAGUACGUUCGGGGCAGAGGGAAUUCCUGGUGUAGCGGUGAAAUGCGUAGAGAUCAGGAAGAACACCGGUGGCGAAAGCGCUCUGCUAGGCCGUAACUGACACUGAGGGACGAAAGCUAGGGGAGCGAAUGGGAUUAGAUACCCCCNUAGUCAGGGGGGGCGUGUUGUGAACUCGACCUUUCUGAUUUUUAGCCCCCGGAAGCGAG
RNAcentral lists this ribosomal RNA (662 nucleotides) under Nostoc sp. LCRNK.9. Its description in RNAcentral is "bacterial SSU rRNA". It matches the Rfam family "Bacterial small subunit ribosomal RNA", at positions 157 to 850 of the family's 1533-position model. The record is from RNAcentral. Lineage: Bacteria; Bacillati; Cyanobacteriota; Cyanophyceae; Nostocales; Nostocaceae.